CCUACGGGUGGCAGCAGUGGGGAAUAUUGGACAAUGGGCGAAAGCCUGAUCCAGCCAUGCCGCGUGUGUGAAGAAGGCCUUCGGGUUGUAAAGCACUUUCAGUGGGGAAGAAAGCCUUGGGGCUAAUACCCUCGAGGAAGGACAUCACCCACAGAAGAAGCACCGGCUAACUCCGUGCCAGCAGCCGCGGUAAUACGGAGGGUGCGAGCGUUAAUCGGAAUUACUGGGCGUAAAGCGCGCGUAGGCGGUCUGAUAAGCCGGUUGUGAAAGCCCCGGGCUCAACCUGGGAACGGCAUCCGGAACUGUCAGGAGAGAGUGCAGGAGAGGAAGGUAGAAUUCCCGGUGUAGCGGUGAAAUGCGUAGAGAUCGGGAGGAAUACCAGUGGCGAAGGCGGCCUUCUGGACUGACACUGACGCUGAGGUGCGAAAGCGUGGGUAGCAAACAGGAUUAGAUACCCGGGUAGUC
Molecule: ribosomal RNA, 465 nt
Filed under: Vreelandella stevensii
Lineage: Bacteria; Pseudomonadati; Pseudomonadota; Gammaproteobacteria; Oceanospirillales; Halomonadaceae
Description: partial 16S ribosomal RNA
Rfam family: Bacterial small subunit ribosomal RNA
Source: RNAcentral